GAAACCUUUUAGAGCGUUGAACCUUAAAACAAUAAGGCGUAAAACCAUUUAUCAAAAAAUAUAGUUUUCUCAUACUCGGAAGUACUUACCAUCACAAUUCAUUGCACCAUAAAGCGGCUAUAUAUGUCUGGAAUAUUUCCCACACCACUAAGAAAAUAUGUCUAGUAUCUCCAUUUCUGGAAAAAAAAGGACCCAGUUCUUCAAUAUGCUCAAAUUGUUAUGACCUUAAUGCAAAUAGUAUUUAAUAAACCAGGAAGAUUUGCAGCAGCCAAAGUUUCCCUCGUCGACUAUCAUCAGGGUUCCCAGUCUGUACUCCAGUACACUAUCACCUUUGAUGCCAAGCAAGACUGGAAAAGAAGAGCUUUGAAAGCAGCUUUCCUACCAAGUUUAUCAGACAGCCUUAACAAUGAGCUUGUGAAAUACCAGCCUUAACAAUGAGCUACUGUGAAAUACCAGAGUCCUUGGAAAACUGAACACACAAAUCAGUGAAUGCUUAUAACUGAUGUUCCAUAUGAAAUCCAAGAAGAGACCAUAUUAAACAAGCAAAUCUGUGGUGCACCUGACAUCUAGAAUUAGUAGUUUCUCACUACUAAUGAGGAACCUACUGAUGAUGGCACCAUUUUUCUUACAGAAGCUAAAUGUCUUAGAUGUUGCAGUUUAGAACGUUUCUUAUACUGUGACCUCAAUUAUUAUCUUUUAUGAGACUGAUCUACAUAUCUGAGACACUUCCUUUGCUCUUAAAGUGACUGUAAUCCGCGGUCAACCACUUGGAACUGGUAUUAUUGAAUUCCAGAUAGUAUCAGUCAAGUGUACCAUGGAAUUACUGUAUCCUAAACACUUAAGUUUCCACCGUGUCUUCCCUCCUUCCUUACUUCUCAUACUCUGAUCACAUUAGAUACAGAUACACAAACCAAUCAACCAUCUCCUAGUCCCAAGGGGAAUUAAUGUCACUUUUAUGGAGAUCUUACCUGGCUGAUGUUCUCAAUACACAGGAUUCAUGGAUGCUUUCUCUAAAAAGAAGGCAGAAUAUUUAGCACUCCAAGAGGGGUGCUUGAGGACUGAAGCUCCUCCACAUUAGGCAAUGGUCUGGGCCCUCUCUCUCCCGCUCCCCUACUGGGUUUCAACAGGCAAAAGCAUCUAUUUGAAACGAUGAAGGAGCUGUUUCUAACAAAUUUAAUACACUCCAGCAAGUAAAAUGUAUCUCUGGAGAACUGGUGUAAACCAAUAUGUAGUCUGUAAAUUUUGUACAGUGUAUACUAAUAAGAAGAACACAAUGCUUAUACUUACUACAAUGGAACAUAUAUUUUCAUCAACCAAAGAGAGUGAGAAGACAUCACCAGAAAAUGCUAGUGAUCCUUCAAUUUUGUAGUGAGCUACAUCAACACAUAUAUAUCCAUGAAUCAGGCAUAUUUUAGCACUGUGUAUUACCUGGAUGUGAAUUAAACUUAAUUGUAUCCAAGGGA
Bombina bombina (fire-bellied toad) is the source of this 1463-nucleotide long non-coding RNA. RefSeq lists it as uncharacterized. The record is from RefSeq and is a predicted model, not a curated record. The transcript has 2 exons. NCBI's taxonomy places the organism in Eukaryota, Metazoa, Chordata, Amphibia, Anura, Bombinatoridae.